Molecule: long non-coding RNA, 755 nt
Organism: Lathyrus oleraceus (garden pea)
Lineage: Eukaryota; Viridiplantae; Streptophyta; Magnoliopsida; Fabales; Fabaceae
Exons: 2
Source: RefSeq, a predicted model, not a curated record
UCAGUUUCCUUCCUAACUUGCGUUAUCUCCGUCUCUUGUAUGUUCCCUCAUCGAAAAUUGCGUCGCCGCACCGGAGGCAGCGGAGCAACCCAUAAAUGGACAAAAUCACCAUCACUAGAAACCUCUCCCUCUCCUCUCUCCAGUUAUCAGCUUUAUUUCCUCUGCAUCUCACAAAAACAUCCAAACCACAAAAGAACUCCAAGAACCCUAACUCACUCAAACAAAAAUCAAACACGGUGGAAAGGGAAUCAAAGCAUGAAACCUUGGGUAUUUGAUUCCCCUCAACAACCUCUACAUGCUGGUAACAAGUUUGAGGCAAAGAAGUGAAAAAUUGUAGAAGACGAACCUAUUUACAGAGCGGAGAUUCGCUGUAGGAAGCAUUGAAGGUCUUGAAGAUGAAGUUGUAGAGAAAAUACCAAAGAAGUGAUCAGUGAAUUUGGUAGGGUGAAUAUCACUUUGGUUUGGCAUGGCAUCAUGGAUCAUGAAGAUGAUUUGGAAUGCAUCAAGAAUAUGGAGCACUUGAAGAACUUGGAGGGAAAAAUGGAAUGUCUUGAGGAUGAAGACAAAAGUAGUAUUAGGUAGUCAGAUUGACUUUAGUCAAUUGUUUGACCAAAAGUCAAUAUUUGAUCAAAAGUCAACCUCAAGUCAAAAUGUGAUUUUUUUGUAGAAUUUGUGACUAUAUUGUUUUCUAAUGACCUUUUGGUGUUUGUAAUUGGAUAUUUCCCUUUGAAUGCAAUUUAUGACUUGAUUCUCAA